Molecule: long non-coding RNA, 3459 nt
Organism: Pristis pectinata (smalltooth sawfish)
Lineage: Eukaryota; Metazoa; Chordata; Chondrichthyes; Rhinopristiformes; Pristidae
Exons: 2
Source: RefSeq, a predicted model, not a curated record
UCCAGGCAAGAAGACAGAGACGCUUGACUUUCUGUGUCACUUUAUUGGUCAGCCCAGAUGUUGCUACAGAUGUUGGGGGAGUGGGUCUGGCAGCAGAGCGGUGAGGGUCCACAGCCGGGGUCACACUGGGGUCACUGCCCCAGUCCGAGGGGCCACUGCCCACCCCUACUGCCACCGAGAGGUGGGGGGACAAUGAGAGUAGGGGGAGGUUACGGAGAGGGGGGACCGGAAGGGGGGAGUGAGGGGGAGGGAAGGGGAUGUGAGGGGAGUUAAGAGAGGGACACUGGAGGGGAGGGGGAGGGGGAGUGAAGGAGUGAGGGACCUUAGAAUCAGGUUUAACAUCACCUGACAUGACGUGAAAUGUGUUUUACGGCAGCAGUACAGUGCGAGGGUGGGGGGGAGGCAGGGGGGGCAGGGAAGUGAGGAAGGGGAGGGGGGAGCGGGAGAGGAGGGGAGGGGAGUGAGGGUCUGAGGUCUCCUGAUCUCAGCUUUGGACCCGGCGGAGACCCUUCCGGCCCAAGGUGACCAUGAUCACCACAGGUCCUUCAACACUGACCCCACCGGCUGCAUCAACUCCACAUCCCUGCGCCCGGCUCACUCAGGGACCUGUCCUGACGGCCCUUCACUGUUCACUGUUCCUGCCUCCUCCUCCUCCGGCAGCUCCUUCCAGAUACCAACUACUCGGUGUGAAAAACCUCAGAUCCCCUUCAAACCUCCUCCCUCCCACCUUAAACCAGUGUCAGACAUGGAGAUCUCUGUGGGAAACAGGGACUGACCACCAGCCUAGCUACACACCCUCGUGAUUUACAAACCUCUAUCAGGUCACCCUCAGCCUCCGUCGCUCCAGGGAAACAGUCCCAGCCUGUCCAGUGUUCUGCUGAUAACCCGAGUCCUCCAGUCCCGGUAACAUCCUCGUGAAUCUCUUCUGUCCCCUCUCCAGCUGAACCCCACCCUUCCUACAGCCUGGGCAACCAGAACUGCGCACAGUGCCCCAGUGUGGUCUCACCAAUGCCUUGUAUGGCUGUAACACGACUUCCCAACUCCUGUACUCUCUCCGUGCUGGGGUUUGGGGGUCUCUCAGUGUUGGGCUUCAUCAGUAUUGGGGUUCAGGUCUCAGUUCUGGGGAUCAGGAUCUCUUGGCCUUGGGGUUCAGGGACUUCCAGUGUUAGGGUUUGGGGUCUCUCAGUGUUGGGGUUAGGGGUGUCAGGACAUUGGGGUUUCAACAGUGUUAAUGUUGGUGUAUCUCUGUUUUGCAGUCUGAGAGUGUGGGUGGGGUGGGGUGUCGUGUGAGCCCCACCCCCCAUCCCUCUGGUGGGCUCCAGGGUGCCCCCCUCCUGUCUGGGGAUUUGGUACCUCAGUCACCCUGGGUCCGAACCUUUGGAUCGAGAGGUCCGGCGUCUCCCAAUGUUGGGGUGUGGGGUCACUGGGCAGUGAGGGGUUUUGGGGAUUCCUCUCAGUCUAUCCCGCUUCCCAGGGUUGUGGUCUGGGCUGUUCCUUGCUCCUGUUGGGGCUCGGUGUGGGGGGGAGGCAGGUGUGGUGGGGUGGUAUCAGUAUUGGGGCUAAGUCCUGGUCUUAGGUCUGCGUGGGUUUCACUAUCAAUGCUGCUUUCCUGACCAUCCUGGGACUGCUGGUUCCUUCUGGGCAAUGUGGGGGUUUGGGGCUGAAGCUCUCUCCUCUCCACCCCCACCCCCCCGCCCAUCCUCACCUCAUAGUUCGGGUUCAAGGUCUUGCUUGAGGGUUUCAGCUGGGCGGGGGGUCUCUCAGUGUUGGGGGUUCUUGUUUUGGGGAAGGGAGGGUUCAGUCUUUCCCUUGGGGUCUAGGCUCUGACAGUUGGGUGUCAGAUCCCCCCACCCCAGUGCUGGGGUUCAGGGGAGCACUUCCCUCAACCCGGGGUUCAGUGUCCCUAUGCCAUUCUUGGUUUGGGGCUCGGUGUUGGGGUUUGGGGGUCUCUCUCGGUCCUCUCUCUCUCUCUCUCUCUCUCUGGUAGAGUUGCAGGAAGCUCCGUCACUCCAUGGGAUUUGGGACCACUCCCCUCAGGUGUUGGACCUCAGCAGGGGAUGUGGAGACCCCCCAACCUGCCAUGUUGGGGUUUCGGGUGCUGGGGUUCAGGCUCUGGGGUUAGGGUUCAGGGUGUCUCAGUGUUGGAGGUCACAGUCGGUGUUGGGGCUGGGAUCCCCCUCUCCCUCCGGGUGGAAGCGGUCCAUGUUUGGAUCUCAUGGCGUUGGGGUGUGGUACCUUGGUCACCCUGGUUCAGAACCUUUCGACCAUGAGGUGCAGGAUCUUCCAGUGUUGGAGUUUGGGUCUCUGGGUUAUGGGUCACUUGUUGGGCUUCAAGUGUCCCUUGGCUUUGGUGUCUGUCCACGUCGGGGGUUCAGGGACUAUGCUGGGGCUUGGGCUUUUGAUUUGGGGUGUGUGUCAGGGUAUGGGGGUUGGCGCGAGGGUUUGGGGUGUGUUGGGGUACAGGGUCAGUGUGAGGGUUUGGGGUGCGUCAGGGUACAGGGUUCAGUGUGACGGUUUGGGGUGUGGGGGGCGGUGUGCGGGUUUGGGGUGUGUCAGGGUACGGGGCAGUGUGCAGGUUCAGGGUGUGUCGGGGUACAGCGGUGUGGGGGUUUGGGUUCAGAGUAUGUCAGGGUAUGGGGUCAGAGUGGGGGUUUGAGGGUGUGUCGGGAGACUGGUCGGUGUGGGGGUUUCGGGUGUGUCAGGGUACAGCGUCGGUGUGGGAGUCUGGGGUGUGUUGGGGUUCGGGGUGUGUCAGGGUACAGCGUCGGUGUGGGGGUUCAGGUUGUGUUGGUGUACGGCAUCGAUGUGGGGGUUCAGUCCUCCUCUUUAGGGUUGGGGAUUCAGGCUCCACGUCAUCCAAUGGGUCUGGGGAUCACCUUCUGCCCCCGCCACAUUCACAGCCUCUCCCUGUGUAGGCGGGUGGGAUGGGGGGGUUCUCCUAGUGUUAGGGCUCUCUCAGUGUCAGCGGGGGGGGGGGGGGGGCGGAGGGUGGGGAGUGGUGGUGGUAUCUCAGUGCUGGGGGUCCCUCUCUGUUGCUGCAGACGGCACAUCUCUCAGUUGGGUGUGGGGCUCCCCCGUACCCAUCUCUUUCACCGAUGGCUCCAGGGUCUCAGCGUUGGUCUCCUCCCCACCCCCAGUUUUGGGUCUGGUAUCUCUCAGGAAGGGUGGGGGGGGGGGGUUCAGUGAUGGUGAUCAGCUGCGCUUUCCCCGUUGGGGUUCAGGGUCUCCCGCUGAUGGGGGACAUGUACAUUCCUGCUUCCUGUUGGGAUCAUGGACUCAGAACACUGGGGUUCAGGGACACACAGGGAUGGGUUACAACCUCCCUUCUCACACGGUUGGGGAUCAGUGUCCCUGCUGCAAUAUGGGGGAGUAGGGAGGGUGGGUGAUGUCGGGGGUCUCUGUGUUGGGUGCAGUCAGCUGUAGGCCCUGCCUCUGUCUGUAGGUGGUUGAUAAUUGGGG